GAAGAAAGCUGGCGGCGUGCUUAACACAUGCAAGUCGAACGGAAAGGCCCUGCUUUUGUGGGGUGCUCGAGUGGCGAACGGGUGAGUAACACGUGAGUAACCUGCCCUUGACUUUGGGAUAACUUCAGGAAACUGGGGCUAAUACCGGAUAGGAGCUCCUGCUGCAUGGUGGGGGUUGGAAAGUUUCGGCGGUUGGGGAUGGACUCGCGGCUUAUCAGCUUGUUGGUGGGGUAGUGGCUUACCAAGGCUUUGACGGGUAGCCGGCCUGAGAGGGUGACCGGCCACAUUGGGACUGAGAUACGGCCCAGACUCCUACGGGAGGCAGCAGUGGGGAAUAUUGCACAAUGGGCGGAAGCCUGAUGCAGCAACGCCGCGUGCGGGAUGACGGCCUUCGGGUUGUAAACCGCUUUGGCCUGUGACGAAGCGUGAGUGACGGUAAUGGGUAAAGAAGCACCGGCUAACUACGUG
RNAcentral lists this ribosomal RNA (468 nucleotides) under uncultured bacterium. RNAcentral describes it as "partial 16S ribosomal RNA". It matches the Rfam family "Bacterial small subunit ribosomal RNA", at positions 31 to 507 of the family's 1533-position model. The record is from RNAcentral.